Callithrix jacchus (white-tufted-ear marmoset) is the source of this 4259-nucleotide long non-coding RNA. RefSeq lists it as uncharacterized. The record is from RefSeq and is a predicted model, not a curated record. NCBI's taxonomy places the organism in Eukaryota, Metazoa, Chordata, Mammalia, Primates, Cebidae.
GAUUCAUGUUCUCCACGCCUAGAUUGGUCACUGUGAGGAAGCCAAAUCGGAUCCGAGAGUCUUUUUCUAAAGGCCAGUACUGGCCACACUUUCUCCUGCCGCCUUCCUCAAAGCUGAAGACACACAGAGCAAGGCUUCUUCUGUUUUACUCCCCAAUGGUAACUCCGAACCACAGAUCUUAGCUCCCUGCUCAUCUCUCCACGUCCCUGCUAUUCAGUGUGGUCUCUGGACCAAUCACACCAGCAUUGUAUGGGAGAGUGUAAGAAACAUGAAUCUGCACGUUAACAAGAUCUCCAGGAGAGUCAUAGAAAAUGAAGAGUGAAAUGGCCAGCUGAAAACCUCACUUCAAUAAAUGUUGCUGAGACAAGUGGAUAUCUACAUGUAGAAAAAUCAAGCUGACUCCUUCCUCACACCAUGCACAAAAAUUGACUCAAAAUGGAUCACAGACCAAAUGUAAGAGUUAAAAUUAUCAGCAUAAAAUAUAAGAGUAAAUCUUUGUGACCUUGGUUUAGGCAAAGCCUUCACAGAUAUGACACCAAAGGCAUAAAUGACAAAAGAGAUAAAUUGGACUGUAUUAAAAUUAAAAUCUUUUGUGCUUCAAAAGUUUUAAAUUUUAAUAUCAAGGCCCCACAUAGUGGCUCAUGCCUGUAAUCACAGCACUUUUGGAGGCCAAGGCAGGUGGAUUACUUGAGGCCAGAAGUUUGAGACCAGCCUGACCAACAUGGUAAAACCCCAUCUCUACUAAAAAUACAAAAAUUAUUUGGGUAUGGUGGCAUGCACCUGGAAUCCCAGCUACUCAGGAGGCUGAGGCACAAGAAUCACUUGAACUCAGGAGGUAGAGAUUGCAGUGAGCCAAGAACAUGCUACUGCACUCCAGCAUGGGCAACAGAGUGAGACUGUAUCAAAAAACACAAAACAAAACUAAACAACACCAUCAAGAAAGUAAAACAACCCACAGAACACAUGUAUUUGGUAAGGGACUUGUAUCUAGAAUACAUAAAGAACUCUUGUAACUCAAUAAUUAAAACAUAAACAACCCAAUUUAAAAAUGGGCAAAAGAGAUGAACAGCUAUUUUUCCAAAGAAGAUAUAUGAAUAGCCAAUAAGCACAUGAAAAGAUCAUCAUUAGCCAUGAGGAAAAUGCAAAUAAAAACCAUGAGAUACAGCUGGGCAUGAUGGUUCACACCUAUAAUCCCAGUACUUUGGGAGGCUGAGGCAGAUGAUCAUGAGGUCAGGAGUUUGAAACCACCCUGUCCAAUAUGGUGAAACCCCAUCUUUACUAAAAAUACAAAAAAUUAGCUAGGCGUGAUGACACGCACCUGUAGUCCCAGCUGCUCUGGAGGCUGAGGCCAGGAACCCAGGAGGUAGAGGUUGCAGUGAACCAAGAUUGCGCCACUGCACGCCAGCCUGGGCAACAGAGCAAGACUGUCUCAAAAAAACAAAAAAAAAAACCCACAAGAUACUAAUUUAUACCCCCUAGGAUGACUACAGGUAUAAAAGAUGGAUAAUAUUGUUGGCAAGGAUGUGGAAAAACUGAAACCCUCAUACAUGUAUAUACAGUACUUAUACAUUGCUAGUGGUAAUGUAAAAUGGCACAGUUACUAUAGAAGACAGUCUGGUUGUUCCUGAAAAGAUUAAACAGUUACCAUAUGACCCAGCAGCCUGAGCAAAAUGAUAACAUGUGUCCAUACAAAAACUUAUACAUAAAUAUCCAUAGCAGCAUUAUUCAUAAUAGCCAAAAGUGGAAACAACUCAAAUGUCCUUCAACUGAAAUGAAUAAAAUGUUGUAUAUCCAUACAAUGGAGUAUUAUUUGGCAGUAAAAAGGAGUUAUGUGAUGAUAUAUGCUACGGCAUGGAUGAACCUAGAAAACAUUACACUAAGUGAAAGAAGCCAGACACAAAAAGCUACAUAUCUUAGGACUGUCUUUGUAUGAGAUCCCUAGAACAGGCAAAUCUAUGGAUAUAAGAAAUAAGCUAGGGUGGGUUAGAGGGAAGUGGGCAGUGACUGCCAAGGGUGUGUAUUUUCUCUGGGGAAUGAAAAAAAAUGUUCUAGUUGACUGUGGUGAUGGUUGCACAACUCUGUGACUAUACUAACAGCCACUGACUUGUAUACUUCAAAUAGGUCAACUGUAUGGUAUGUGAACUAUAUCUCAAUAGAAACUCUUAUUUACAAGAAAAGGGUCCAUCAGGACUUGCAACACUGUAGCACGGCAAGCAAGCAGGAACAUCUGGCCCAUCCUGCCAUACACAAAAGGCAACAUGUGAAUAGAGAAGGAAGAAAGCUACACCUCAUACAUGGGACCAUCAACAGGACAGGCCAAACAGCUAGACUCCAUUACUACCUCAAUUAACGCAAAGCAACUUCCAGUCAAAUUCAAAGGUGUCUCAAUUAACAGCUCCUGACUCUCUCUUCUAGAGUCUUCUCCUACCUCUUAAUGUCCUCAGACCUAUUUACUUCAACAUCAUUUUUUAUUAUACCUACUCACAAGAUCCUUUCAUCCAGGCUGAUAAAAGAGAAACAGUGAUCAGCUGCAGUUUCAUGCUGUAGUAUAGCUAGUUGAGAGAUGGACGGAUGUAGGAAGUAGAAUGGAUAAGGGAAGGUAUGAAGGGUUACAGAAGGAUAAAAAAAAGAAGUUUCAAUAGCAAACUACGGAAAACUGAUAACUCACUGUACUAUAGAGAGGUCAGACUGACUCUUUCCUCAACCUAUCACUCUUUCUCCAGUGGAUCCCAUCACUGGGAGGACAGUGUGAACUGUCAGUAUCCCAUAGCUAACCUCCUAAGAUAUCACCUCAUGGUCAAACCCAGGUUACUUGAAUUUGUGUCCAUUAACCGGUCAGUCUACCAAUUGAUCACUCUACUAUUUAUUUAGUCAAGAGUUUCCUCCUUAGAACCUAUAAAUAAAUAGUGGAAUGACAAACUCAGAGUUUUCCCUCCCACAGCAGCUAGUAUUACCCUCAUACUAUUACCAUCCUACCCUGAUUCAGACAACUUCACUGAGCUAAUAGACCACCUGCAGCAGACCCAGCAUGCUAAAAGCCUCACUAACUCCAAACAGGCUUCUCAAUCCAGGGUGCACCCAGUCAGCCAAAGCCCAUCCUCUACUCAACCUGACACAUAGAAAGGGCAUACCCUCUCUAGGACCAAGGGGAGAAGGUAUGGAAAAGUACAAAAGAUUUACCUGGUGUAUGCCAGUCAACAUUAGUAAGAACAUAAGUAGGAACUAAUUUCAUGCUUUAAACACAAAAGAAUUGUUACUUCUUUAAAGAAGACAUUGUUUAUUUUAUUUUAUUUUAUUUUUGAAACGGUCUUGCUCUGUCACCAGAGCCAGGCUGGAGUGCAGUGGCGUGAUCUUGGCUCACCGCAACCUCCGCCUCCUGGGUUCAGGCAAUUCUCCUGCCUCAGCCUCCUGAGUAGCUGGGAUUACAGGCAUGCGCCACCAUGCCCAGCUAAUUUUUUGUAUUUGUAGUAGAGACGGGGUUUCACCAUGUUGACCAGGAUGGUCUCGAUCUCUUGACCUCGUGAUCCACCUGCCUCGGCUUCCCAAAGUGCUGGGAUUACAAGCUUGAGCCACCACGCCCAGCCCAAUUUUUAUAUUUUUUAAUAGAGACAGGGUUUCACCAUGUUGGCCAGGAUGGUCUCAAUCUCUCGACCUUGUGAUCUGCCUGCCUCAGCCUCCCAAAGAGUUGGAAUUACAGGCGUGAGCCACUGCGCCCGGUCCAUUAUUUCUUUAUAAUUAAGAAUUACUAGCUUUAGCACUGGUCUCUGAGAGUGCUGAUUUUUAUUUCAUCUUUGGAAGAAUCAUUGCCUAUUAAAACUGAAAAUGACCCAGAGACAAAGUAUAUACUUGGGGGCAAAUUGUAAUAGUAUGAAGAACUAAACCCGGCACACUAUGUUAUGGGCCACUGCUAUAGACUGAAUAUUGUGUCCCCCAUGACUUCAAAUGUAUACACUGAAAUCCCAGCCCCUAACCCCCAAUGUAGUGGUACUAGGAGAUGGGGCCUUUGACAGGUGAUUAGGUCAUGAGGACCAUGAGGACAGAGCUCUCACAAAUGGGAUUAUUAUCUUUAUAAGAUAGAAGAGUUCUGAAGCACUCCCUCGGCCCUUCCCCUUAUGCCAUGGGAGGAUGCAGUGAGUACCUGGUGGUCAGUGAACCAAGAAAGGGGCCCUUGCUAGACCACAAAUCUGCCAGCAUGUUAGUCUUGGGACUUCCGAGACUCCACCAUAUUAAGAAAUAAAAUUUCUGUUGUUUUUAAGCCA